Molecule: long non-coding RNA, 1166 nt
Organism: Balaenoptera ricei (Rice's whale)
Lineage: Eukaryota; Metazoa; Chordata; Mammalia; Artiodactyla; Balaenopteridae
Exons: 4
Source: RefSeq, a predicted model, not a curated record
GCAAGCCGGGUCAGCAGGCCCUACAGGCUGCGGGACACUAGGUCACGAGGUCGUCCAUUCCCCGCGCAGCCCACGCCAAGCCGCUGCUUACCCGGAGCCGGAGCGGACUCUUCUCUUCUAGAGACGGGUCAACUCUGCGGCGGCGGGGCGCACAGGGGAGGAGCUUCCUCUCUCCGACCUGGCCCUCCCAGGCGCUGCCAGCCACCCGAGCCUGCCUGUCGGAGCUCCUCCCUCCCCAGACUUCUCAGGCGACGUCAGCGGCGGAUGCCGAGGCGUGGAUGAGGGCCCCUGGCCCGCGAUCCUCCCAGCAAGGCUCCCGCCUCGGCCUGAGGCCCGAGAUCUCCGCUUUGUUGUGCCCAGACGACGUGUGCCACACCGGCGGGGCUCGGGCGGGGGCUUGGGAGUGGGGAAGUGAGCCAGGGGCGCUCAAUUUGUCUUCUCUCCCCCCAACCCGCUAGGUUGGAAAGGUUUUCUUUUGGGGAAAUUUCCUCUCCGCAGCCUCACACCCAGUCAGCGGACCCUCCCAUCCAGGAGGAAUCUCCUCUGGUCCCAUCGGCGCGUCUUCCGGGAGUCGCCAAACACCGGAGGUAGCAGGGUGGGUGUGGCAGCUGCCGUUUCCUGACUCCGUGCCUGCGCGGAAAGCCCUUUGAGGGAGUGCGGUCGUGACUUACUAGGGCUCCGCACUUCUCAGCCCGACAGAGAUUGAAAAGUAACCUUGAGAGAGUCCCUCCCUUGAUUCCAGGGAAAGUUACUAGAGGAUGUGCUCCAACAAAACAUGAGAGCAAGACAAAGAGAAAGACAUGGGAUCCAGAAAAAAGGACCAGGAGAAUGUGAAGGGAAAUGCCAGGGUGAAAGAUAUGUGGCAGAAUUAGAGAGCAAUCGUUUUCACUGCAGAAGGAAGAUGGCAGACUCCAAGAAGGAAGACUGAUGAUGGAUAUACCAUAAUUUACCCCUCAUUGGUGGACACUUAGCUGGUUUCCACAUAUUUACUCUUACAAAUUAUGCUGCAAUAAGUAAUCGUUACAUAUGUCAUUUCAUACAUGUGCAAGUGUAUCCAUAUAUAUGUCCUAGAAGCUGAAUUGCUGGACAAAAGAGUUAUGUUCAUUUGUAAUUUUGGUUUGUAUUGUUGAAUUGAUCUUCACUGAGGUUCUUCCAAUUUUUUUUUU